GCUGCCCCUAGAGGUACUGCAGGUGUGACUGCUGUGUCACAGGUGUACUUCAGCAGGUGGCAGAGAGGAAAGAGGCUAUGUCAAUGCCCAGUGUUCAGACACAUGAACAUCUGAAUGAAUAGGAGCCUAACAUU
Acomys russatus (golden spiny mouse) is the source of this 134-nucleotide small nucleolar RNA. RefSeq annotates it as small nucleolar RNA SNORA17. The record is from RefSeq and is a predicted model, not a curated record. Lineage: Eukaryota; Metazoa; Chordata; Mammalia; Rodentia; Muridae. The transcript has a single exon.